CUGGUAUCUUCUGAGUCCUCUUUAGCAAAUAAAAGUCCUCAUGGAGUCCUCCCUUUUGCCUUUACCUCGCCCAACUCCAUAGUUUAUAACCAAUCACUCCUCACAACCCCAGUGCAGCUCUCUCUGCCCACGGGUCCCGUCCCCGUGCUUUAAGAAAAUCACCUUUUUGCACCAAAGCCGUCUUCCAGAAUUCUUUCUUGGCCGUCAGCUCUGGACAUCCACCACUCCAAACCUCCAUCAGUUGGAUCCCAACCUUGGGCAAGUUACUUGAUAUUUCUGUUGCCCAGGAGGUGACCACAUCAGCAGGGUGGAGUCCUUGCAAAGAGGAUUAGGGCCCAUGGAAAAGGGACCCAGGAGAGCUCUCUUGCGCUCUUUCCACAGGAAGAAGCCAGCAGCCUGCAACCCCGGGAGAGGUUCCUCGCCAGAAUCCGGCCUUGCUGACGCCUGAUCGCGGACUUCCAGGCAGACACCAGCGCCGUGGGGAACAUGGAUAUGUUGUCUACCAGCCCCCUACUCUGUGGCACUUUGUUACAGCAGCCGGGACCGACCGCCAAUGAACAUCCGCCCUACACGUCCUGUGUUACUUGGUCCAGAGUCAAGGGCACUCGUUUACAGCUGCCCUCCUGCCAGAUUUGAGCAGCCUCUACACCACCUCCGUGCUGUCGCUUUGUCCCCACCUCCCAGCCGGGUAAAAUCCCAGCCGGGGCUCCGGGCUUCAACGCCUGGAGAGCUCUGGACCUCCAUGUUUUCAAAUUUACAAGUAGUUUUGAAUUUUCUGUGGCAGGUCCUCAGGGGCUCGGGAGGGGCGGUGGAGUCCAGGGUUGUGGUUUCUUCAGGGAGCUGUGACGUCCGUCUUCUACCCCCCGAGGGGCCACCCAGAUGGCGUGUAGCAGUCGUGGGGUGGAUGGCGGGGUGAGGCUCGGAAGCACCCCGACUCCCGCCCGGAAGCACCCCGACUCCUGCCCGGAAGCAGCCCGGAGGCCAGCUUGCAUACCUGGUAGAGCCUCGAGUUCAAAAAGCAAAAAACAAAACAAAACAAAACAAAAACAAAGCAAAACAAAACAAACCUUUCCCUUUCUUUUAAAAAAUUUUUUUUUUCAACGUUUUAUUUAUUUUUGUGACAGAGAGAGACAGAGCAUGAAGGGGGGAGG
Molecule: long non-coding RNA, 1151 nt
Filed under: Felis catus (domestic cat)
Lineage: Eukaryota; Metazoa; Chordata; Mammalia; Carnivora; Felidae
Description: lncRNA (ENSFCAG00000050356.1)
Source: RNAcentral